UGUCACUGUAAAUGUUACCCUCGUACCGCUACUAGAGAAGAGUUACACAACACCGUGAAACUGGAUAUCAGUACCUUUAAUAACUAAUAUCCUCUUAAUAGGUGACGUAAAGGUUCUGCUCAACUCGAAACCAAUAAGUUUUGUUACUAACCAAAGAUAUAUAUAGGCGGUGACUCGGCAGACGCGGAGCCGUGCCCAGCUCUGCAGCAGUUCCUGUGCACUUGCGGGCGUCAGUAUCGGCACAAGAAGAGUCUGUUAGUGCACCAGCGCUUUGAGUGCGGCAAGGAGCCCCAGUUCGCUUGCAGAUUCUGCGACUACAGAGCCAAACACAAGGCUCAAGCGAAGAUCCACGAGCACAGGAAGCAUUCCCAUCUCCUCCCUUGAUCGGUUUCUACAAGUUUGGCGAGAGAAAAAGUUUGCCUGCGCUCGCUGCGAGAGAUCUUACGUCCACAAGAAGUCCUUGAACCUGCACCAGCGCUACGAGUGUGGUGUAGAACCUCGCUUCGCCUGUCCUCAUUGUUCUUACAGAGCAAAGCAGCGUGGUGACCUCAAGAAACAUUUGGCGAGCCAACAUCGAUCCUUGUGGGACCCCUGGAUGGGAAUACCAUAACAAUGUCUUUAUAACGCCUCUUCCUGUAUUGUAAAUAAAAUACAGUGAAAUAAAUUAUCUGAUUUAUCA
Molecule: long non-coding RNA, 679 nt
Organism: Homalodisca vitripennis (glassy-winged sharpshooter)
Lineage: Eukaryota; Metazoa; Arthropoda; Insecta; Hemiptera; Cicadellidae
Exons: 2
Source: RefSeq, a predicted model, not a curated record